AUGGCGACCACAGAACCUAAUGCAAAAAACUGGUUGUUCACUUUGAUCGAGAGCUUGACGCAAGAGAGCUUUGCUUUGCUGGCGGUCACUGCUUGGGCGAUUUGGCAUGCUCGACGUAAAGCUAUUCAUGAGGCAAUAUUCCAAAGCCCCCAUCAGACACACUCCUUCAUCACAAGUUUCAUGGCAGAGCUCGGUGUGAUUAAUUCAAACCGAUGCCCCCUGCAAGGAGUGAGCCAACCGCGGCCACAAAGACAAAACCCCAAGAAACCACCCCCCGGAGCAUACAAGAUACAUGUUGAUGCAUCCGUUCGCGCGAGAAGAGGAAGAGCGGCAGGUGCAGUUUGCAGAGAUGAAGCGGGGAAUUAUAUUGGGGCUUCGGCCUUGGUCAGGGAGGGUGUCACUGAUCCGGCAUCUUUGGAGUCGAUAGCAUGUCGAGAGGCGUUGUGCCUGGCGGAGGACCUCAACAUCCACCAUUUUGUCAUCGCAUCUGAUUGCAAACAGGUUGUGGCGGAUAUUGGCAACAACAGUGGAGGAAGAUAUGGAGCAAUUAUCAGGGAGAUUCGCCUUAGAGCUAUUAAUGUCCAAUGUAAAUUUAUUUUCGAGGGUCGUGCUGUGAACUAUGAAGCACACGGUUUAGCUAAAUUUUCCCUUUCUAGAGGUCCCGGUCGUCACGUCCGGUUAGGCAUUCCGUACAACCAGAUUCGUAUCCCACUUCAUGUGGAUUUUGAUGAAUAA
RNAcentral lists this ribosomal RNA (735 nucleotides) under Triticum aestivum (bread wheat). RNAcentral's name for it is "partial small subunit ribosomal RNA". Lineage: Eukaryota; Viridiplantae; Streptophyta; Magnoliopsida; Poales; Poaceae. The record is from RNAcentral.